GAUGAACGCUGGCGGCGUGCCUAAUACAUGCAAGUCGAGCGAACAGACGAGGAGCUUGCUCCUUCGAUGUUAGCGGCGGACGGGUGAGUAACACGUAGGUAACUUACCUAUAAGACUGGGAUAACUUCGGGAAACCGGAGCUAAUACCGGAUAAUAUUUCGAACCGCAUGGUUCGAUAGUGAAAGAUGGCUUUGCUAUCACUUAUAGAUGGACCUGCGCCGUAUUAGCUAGUUGGUAAGGUAACGGCUUACCAAGGCAACGAUACGUAGCCGACCUGAGAGGGUGAUCGGCCACACUGGAACUGAGACACGGUCCAGACUCCUACGGGAGGCAGCAGUAGGGAAUCUUCCGCAAUGGGCGAAAGCCUGACGGAGCAACGCCGCGUGAGUGAUGAAGGUCUUCGGAUCGUAAAACUCUGUUAUUAGGGAAGAACAAACGUGUAAGUAACUGUGCACGUCUUGACGGUACCUAAUCAGAAAGCCACGGCUAACUACGUG
RNAcentral lists this ribosomal RNA (497 nucleotides) under uncultured bacterium. RNAcentral's name for it is "partial 16S ribosomal RNA". It matches the Rfam family "Bacterial small subunit ribosomal RNA", at positions 28 to 507 of the family's 1533-position model. The record is from RNAcentral.